Molecule: long non-coding RNA, 1078 nt
Filed under: Gossypium barbadense (sea-island cotton)
Lineage: Eukaryota; Viridiplantae; Streptophyta; Magnoliopsida; Malvales; Malvaceae
Description: long non-coding RNA (GBAR_LNC012048)
Rfam family: MIR159 microRNA precursor family (bases 283-486)
Source: RNAcentral
AGGAAAUUAACAGUGUCCUAAAUUCUGGGUUUCCCUUGUUCCAUCAUAUCUUCAUGCUUGUUUCUUCUUGUAGGUUAAGUAGUGGUCUUCUGCUUGUUUUGAUUUGAAAGUUUUUGGAUCUGAUGAUUUUAACCCACGUCUGCUGAGCCAUAUAUAUAUGUGUGUGUCAAAUAAGGUUGAGAGGUUCAAUCUUGUAACCGUAACUAGGGUUUCUUUUUCCUUCUUUUUGGCCAUUUUUUCUAGGUUUAGGCAAAGGAGAGAUUUAUUGUUGGUUAAAGGUGAGACAAAGGGGUGGAGCUCCUUGAAGUCCAAUAGAGGGUCUUGCAGGGUAUAUAGAGCUGCUGAGCUAUGGAUCCCUAAAGCUCUAUCCCAUAUAUAUAACUUUUAAAAGAAGGGAUAGACUUUUGGCUUGCAUAUCUCAGGAGCUGCAUUACCAAAAAUGUCAGAUCCUUGUUUGGAUUGAAGGGAGCUCUACACUUAGUCACUGAUCUUUGUUUUUAGUAGCUAUGAUCUGAUUUAACUUUAUAGAACCCGUUCAUGGUUUUGCUUUGAAUAUUGCAAGUUGAUUACUUGAUUUUCUUUUUUGAAGUUUAUGCAGGAGGAGGGUGAAGACAUUGAAAGGGGCAGAGAUGGUGUCAGAAUAUCUUGUGCUUAGAUUUUUUUGGUUCAGCGAUUUUCUAAACAAUUUUUAGAGAGAGAGAGAGGGGAGUUAGGGCCAUUCAUUGUACCUUUAUUUUUUUAAAAUAUAUAUAUGGUUUUUGCUUUUAUUCUUCAAAUAUUGUUGGUGUUUUGUGAAUUGCAAUCUAUGUUUGUGUAUGAGCUGGAAAGUUUAUUAUUGUAUUUUAAUUUUAUUAUUCUUUAAAAUUGUAUUAUAUCAUCACAUAAAUAUUAUAUAUGGUAUAGAGGAUGAUGUUAUUACAUGAGUUAAAAUUAAAAAUUGUUGAAAGAGUUGAGGGACUGAAUGUUAAUUUAAAUUUUAAUUAAUGAUUUAAUAUGUAUUUUGAUUUGUGAUUGAAAUAUUAAAAUACCAACUUCAAGGAGCAAUCUUCGGAUUAUUGACUGUAGGCAGGGAUUUUUU